CUUUAGCUCAGUUGGAUAGAGCAACUGCCUUCUAAGCAGUAGGGCGAGGGUUCGAAUCCCCCAAG
This 65-nucleotide transfer RNA is filed under the name human gut metagenome. It matches the Rfam family "tRNA", at positions 5 to 66 of the family's 71-position model. Rfam says of the family: Transfer RNA (tRNA) molecules are approximately 80 nucleotides in length. Their secondary structure includes four short double-helical elements and three loops (D, anti-codon, and T loops). Further hydrogen bonds mediate the characteristic L-shaped molecular structure. tRNAs have two regions of fundamental functional importance: the anti-codon, which is responsible for specific mRNA codon recognition, and the 3' end, to which the tRNAs corresponding amino acid is attached (by aminoacyl-tRNA synthetases). tRNAs cope with the degeneracy of the genetic code in two manners: having more than one tRNA (with a specific anti-codon) for a particular amino acid; and 'wobble' base-pairing, i.e. permitting non-standard base-pairing at the 3rd anti-codon position. The record is from RNAcentral.